CUACGGGACGCUCCAGUGAGGAAUAUUGCACAAUGGGGGGAACCCUGAUGCAGCAACGCCGCGUGGAGGAUGACGCAUUUCGGUGUGUAAACUCCUUUUAUAUGUCAAGAAAAUGACGGUAGCAUAUGAAUAAGCACCGGCUAACUCCGUGCAGCAGCCGCGGUAAUACGGAGGGUGCAAGCGUUACUCGGAAUCACUGGGCGUAAAGGACGCGUAGGCGGGUUGGAAAGUCAGGUGUGAAAUCCUACAGCUUAACUGUAAACUGCACUUGAAACUUCUAAUCUAGAGUAUGGGAGGGGGAGAUGGAAUUAGUGGUGUAGGGGUAAAAUCCGUAGAUAUCACUAGGAAUACCUAAAGCGAAGGCGAUCUCCUGGAACAUUACUGACGCUAAGGCGUGAAAGCGUGGGGAGCAAACAGGAUUAGAUACCCUCGUAGUC
RNAcentral lists this ribosomal RNA (437 nucleotides) under uncultured bacterium. Its description in RNAcentral is "partial 16S ribosomal RNA". It matches the Rfam family "Bacterial small subunit ribosomal RNA", at positions 339 to 795 of the family's 1533-position model. The record is from RNAcentral.